CCCAGAGUUCAAAAGGUCCUGCUGAAUGUUUGGGGUCUUUCUGUCAGCAAUCUUGACCAUCAUUGGACACGACAACCGCUGAAGGCUUCACAGGCUGGUCACUUCAUGAAGUCCCUUUGAGACAAUUAUUAGAUUAUUUUUAUACCUCCACCAGGUGAAGUCCACCUGCCUCUCCUGCAAUGCCACUGUUUGUAUUCUCUAUAGCAGUUCUCCAACCUUUCAUCACAACAGCAGGAUCAUUGUAUGAAAUCUAUGUAUUCUGCUUCUUUCAGUUACUCCUAAUGCUACUUUUCAUUAUCUUUCAGAUGGAUGCGCAAUAGCAUGGAGAUUAUUCAUAACAUUUGACCAGCACGAACCUGUCCUAGCAUGGUGUCAUGACAACAAUGAUAUUCAAUGGGGUUACCACACAUCAAAAGUUAUUACACCUUUGAUUCAGAAAACAAGGAUACCAGCACAAGAGCAGCUUGGGAUUGGAGGUUUCUCCAUAUGUGGGAGGGGACGGGGGGCCAAUAUCACCCACCUCUUCAGGAAGUGUCCUGUGAAAGCCUAGAAUGGUGGGGAAGGGGCUCUCCGUGGCCCCGUGGAGUCCUCACAGCCAGCAGGCACUGCGGCUGGCAGCAUUAUGCCAUUGGAGGAGAUCCAGGGCUGCCAGUCCCCGUCCUCUGCUCCCCCAUGCCUUUCAACCCCGCUCCCUGCGACACAGAGAAGGAGAUUAGGAUUAAUCUUCCGUCUGACAUGCUGAUAUUAACACCAUUUUUUCUGCCUUUCCUCUCAUUUGCUGUACAUUUUGGGCUUGUUAGAAAGGAAAAGGAGGGGCAGAGAACAAAAUCUAAGUCUGGGCCAUGGAUUACUCCUAGAGAGGAGGGGGGCAGGUUCAAAGGGGGUUUUCUUGUGAUGGGGACAGAAGGACAAUCAUUUUGGCAGAGAACAGUAUGGUGUCAGGAUCACUCUCUGUUGAUGUGAUUUGGGAUAUGUGGGUUCAAAUUGCCACACAGGGAAAAGAGAAGGGCUUUAGAUAAACCCAGCCAUUCGAUAGGCCUGUCUGUCUGAAAUGUUUGACUGAAAUAAUUAUUUGAUAAAGGUGUAGAAUAUUGAGGUAAAAUAUUUGCUCAGAUCCACAUAAAUUAUAUCCAAAUAUCAGUCAAAAUAUUUUUUAAAUGCAAUAACUAAUUUAGAAUUGCAUAGUAAUGGAGUAAAGCAGGUUUAGGGAGCAGAACCAGAACUGGAAGUUUAAAUCCUGAAACUAUCUGCAAGUCUUGACAUAGAUCGUUUAAUGUCAGAUAGACAUAUUGCUAGUUGUGGGGAGUGCAAAACCAAACAAAGUUAAUUAAAACUUGUUUUGACUGUUA
Oncorhynchus nerka (sockeye salmon) is the source of this 1349-nucleotide long non-coding RNA. RefSeq lists it as uncharacterized. The record is from RefSeq and is a predicted model, not a curated record. NCBI's taxonomy places the organism in Eukaryota, Metazoa, Chordata, Actinopteri, Salmoniformes, Salmonidae. The transcript has 2 exons.